AUUGAACGCUGGCGGAAUGCUUUACACAUGCAAGUCGAACGGCAGCACGGACUUCGGUCUGGUGGCGAGUGGCGAACGGGUGAGUAAUGUAUCGGAACGUGCCCAGUCGUGGGGGAUAACGUAGUGAAAAUUACGCUAAUACCGCAUACGAUCUAAGCAUGAAAGCGGGGGAGCGCAAUACCACGCGCGGUUGGAUCGGCCGAUAUCAGAAUAGGUAUUUGGUGGGGGAGAGGCUCAACAAGCCAACGAUCUGUAGCUGGUCUGAGAGGACGACCAGCCACACUGGAACUGAGACACGGUCCAGACUCCUACGGGAGGCAGCAGUGGGGAAUUUUGGACAAUGGGCGAAAGCCUGAUCCAGCCAUUCCGCGUGCAGGAUGAAGGCCCUCGGGUUGUAAACUGCUUUUGUACAGAACGAAAAGGUUUCUACUAAUACUAGGAGCUCAUGACGGUACUGUAAGAAUAAGCACCGGCUAACUACGUGCCAGCCGCCGCCGUAA
This 500-nucleotide ribosomal RNA is filed under the name uncultured bacterium. RNAcentral describes it as "partial 16S ribosomal RNA". It matches the Rfam family "Bacterial small subunit ribosomal RNA", at positions 30 to 523 of the family's 1533-position model. The record is from RNAcentral.